CCUACGGGAGGCAGCAGUGAGGAAUAUUGGUCAAUGGGCGUAAGCCUGAACCAGCCAAGUCGCGUGAGGGAUGAAGGUUCUAUGGAUUGUAAACUUCUUUUAUAAGGGAAUAAAGUGAGGCACGUGUGCCGUUUUGUAUGUACUUUAUGAAUAAGGAUCGGCUAACUCCGUGCCAGCAGCCGCGGUAAUACGGAGGAUCCGAGCGUUAUCCGGAUUUAUUGGGUUUAAAGGGUGCGUAGGCGGGCUUUUAAGUCAGCGGUGAAAGUUUGUGGCUCCACCGUAAAAUUGCCGUUGAAACUGGCAGUCUUGAGUAUAUUUGCGGCAGGCGGACUUCGUUGUGUAGCGGU
This 347-nucleotide ribosomal RNA is filed under the name uncultured bacterium. Its description in RNAcentral is "partial 16S ribosomal RNA". It matches the Rfam family "Bacterial small subunit ribosomal RNA", at positions 338 to 682 of the family's 1533-position model. The record is from RNAcentral.